This is a long non-coding RNA of Pseudophryne corroboree (corroboree frog), 296 nucleotides long. RefSeq lists it as uncharacterized. The record is from RefSeq and is a predicted model, not a curated record. The transcript is spliced from 3 exons. Lineage: Eukaryota; Metazoa; Chordata; Amphibia; Anura; Myobatrachidae.
CCGGCGGACCCGGGGUGGAGCUUCAGGCGGACCCAGGGGCCAAGCCUCAGGCUCAGAUGGAUAUAGAAAAGGAAAGCCACUGGCAGUGGUGAAAAACUCCUUCAGUGCUUCCUGAGGUCACAUGAUGACAGCCAGUGAGGACAGAGACAGACAAGGAGUCACCAGCUGAAGAGUCACCUCUCUAACACCCAGGCCUAAAAGGGUUAUCUGGACGUCAAUAAAAAUAAUGGCCCGAUCGUGUUUGCAUCAUUAUGGAUGAGAGUCAGCAGGACCUUAAUGGAAGGUUAGCAUCUCCU